This is a long non-coding RNA of Echinops telfairi (small Madagascar hedgehog), 713 nucleotides long. RefSeq lists it as uncharacterized. Lineage: Eukaryota; Metazoa; Chordata; Mammalia; Afrosoricida; Tenrecidae. The record is from RefSeq and is a predicted model, not a curated record. The transcript is spliced from 2 exons.
UGCUCACCCUUCCCUACUUUCUUGCUUGCCACUCGCCACUCCCACCCCCACCGUGACCCCAAGAAGAAGAGCUUCACCUUCCAGAGUGUUCCUGCGGCCGUCAGCACCAAUGAUGACAUCAAAUUCAAACUCCGACAGAGAGUGAUCCCCAGGGAGAAACUCUGCCCGCCAGCCAAUUUCUACCAGGACAGAAGAAGGAGGAGGCUCUAGAACCUUCACAAACUCCACAUUCACGUGAAUUUCAACUCCCAGCAUCAGGGCCACCUUGAAGAGAAUGAGCUGCAGCUGACGAAUACCUGCCAGGAAGGAAGGGGAAGAGGGGUGGACUGUCAGCGGUGCCUCCUGGACGCAGAUCACCCCACCUCAGGAACCCUGGCCAGAGCGACAGACCAACAGGGAUCACCACGGAGCACUCAGUACCCGCUAAGUGCUCAGCCAAGCACUGCCCGCGCGUGUUCUCUCAUCGAACCCUUAGAGAAGCCCUCGGAGAGAAUGACUACGAUUGUUCUACGGGUGAGACAUUGAGGUUCAACGAGGCCAAAUGAUUUGCUCAAGGGCAAGAGUGAUCAGUCCUACAGCGCAGAGCCAGGUCGGUUGGAUCCCAACACGGAGCUCCUGUCAGUAGAUAAUGCUGUCGUUCGAUGAUGGCUCUCCUUCCUGUCGACAAGAUCAGGAUGGAAGAGGAAACAGGAGAAUAAAGACUCCUACAUAAA